CCCGCGUGUCUCAUGGCCACGGUCUUCGGUGCAGAAGCAACUAGGACAGUGUUAAUAAACUUGGAGCUGAGUCGAUAAACAGCCACUACAGACAAGACUACGCCAACAGUAACACUCCAGGGACAAUGCAGAAACAAAGUAUUUCAAAGGAAGUGUUACAAUCCUUGAAAUGUGAAAAUAAUCAU
Ictidomys tridecemlineatus (thirteen-lined ground squirrel) is the source of this 185-nucleotide unclassified non-coding RNA. Lineage: Eukaryota; Metazoa; Chordata; Mammalia; Rodentia; Sciuridae. The record is from Ensembl.